Molecule: long non-coding RNA, 918 nt
Filed under: Lathyrus oleraceus (garden pea)
Lineage: Eukaryota; Viridiplantae; Streptophyta; Magnoliopsida; Fabales; Fabaceae
Description: Pisum sativum (pea) long non-coding RNA (PSAT_LNC035083)
Source: RNAcentral
GAAAAUAAAAGUGCAAAAAUGAGAAGAACGCCAACCUAAACAUCCAAGGAGGUGCGGUGAUUAGAGGGUAUGGUCGGGGUGACAACGACGAUGUUGUGGUUCAUGGUAAAAUAUGGUGGUCCCUGGAGGAUCUCUUUCUCGCGGCGAAGAUAUGGCUCACGUCAUCGAGGGUCGUGAAUGAGCAGCGAUGGGAGUAGGAGGAUGGUAUGGGGAUGUGCAUGGCGGAGGCGCGACUAAGAGGUGAGCUUGGUUUGUUUUUUCGGUUCCGACUUCAAUUGUAUUUUGAUUUCCACUUGGUACAAUUCUGAUGUGAAUUUGAUCCUAGUUUAGUGUUCUUAAUUUUUUUUACAAAGGUAUUUGUUUAUGAGUUUGAAACUGGUAUGAUUUUUUUUAUUUGAACAGUAGUAUAAUUAGGAUUUGAAACUUAGUUAUGAUUUUUUUUAUUUGAACAAUAGUAUAUGAUUUAACUCGAUCUUGACUCAAUUUGGUAUCGACUUAGUUUUGGAAUGGUUACGACUUGUUUAGUAUUGAUUUUGGUUUGUAUUGGUUUCAGAAAAAUUGGUGUUGAAUUUCAAAGAACCUAUACUAGUCUCAGUAAGUUUAAGUUAAACAGAAACAUUGGUAUUGUUUUGGGUUUUUAUAGGGUAUUGGUCUUUGGAUUUGAAUCAGUUAUGACUUAGUUCGGUUUUGAGUAUUUUUUUAAAAAAACUUGACUCAUGAUAUUUGUUUAAAAAAUAUUUGAUUCGCGAUACUUGUUUAAAAAAAUUUAAUUCACUAUACUUGUUCAAAAAAGUUUAAUUCAUGGUUUCAAGUAGUUAUUAUGCACAAAGAGGACUAUUAUGAAUAUGUGAGUUAGUUUGAAGCUAAUUAUGUUUAUUUAUUUACAUGAAAACUAUACUACAAGAAACAUAUCACAAC